CUAACAUUUUUCCCCCCAUCGUUGCACACUGAGAAAAUGAUUCUAUUUGAGCAGCAUCCUAGGGAAAAGGGGGGAGGCCAAUUGUGAUUGGUGUCAGUAAAGCUGGAGUUGGGGAGAGACUCCAGGCCUCAUGGACACCUCAGUGGAUGAGACACACCUGUCAUGAAUCUGACACCUGUUAACAUCUGUCCCUCCACCAGCAUGUAAGCCCCCAUGAUAGUCUUUCAAGCAGAGCCUGAUACAUAGUAUGUGCUAAGUAAGUAAGUUAUAUCAUGAAUGUUUCUCCGUAUCAUUCAGCACUCAUGAACAUUUUAAAGACUCUGAUCUUUCAUCAUUCUAAGUGAAUUGCUGAAGGCUUGGAAGGAAUCAUGUUGCCACACACGGUAUCUGAGUAGUGCCAUCUUCCCGGGCAAGACAUCAGACUUGGGAAGGCACACACCAUUUUAACUUGGAUGCACAGACACACAUCAUGUCCCAACGAAUCCUGGUAUGCACGCUCCUGGAACAAUCUGAAACAUCUCUGGGCAUGUUCAGUGUAUCACUCAAAAGGAAUGAGACUUGGUACAUGUCAGAUUCUCUGUGAGUCUCACGUUCAACAUGAACCACAGAAGAAUUCCACCGCAUCGACUCUUUAUGUACUCAGUGUGGGUGUAUAAGGGUGGAGCCUCUGUUCUUCACGAAACCUCUAGAUUGUGCUGAACUGGCCUUAAGUGCUGAAGAAGCUCUGGGAAGCUAUGAUGAACUGGGUGCCAUCAAAAAAGGCUGUAAGGAGGAGAACUCGGCCUAAUUGAAUAAAGAUUACAGUACACAUAUAAGUGUCAUUUCAAGUGUUU
Vicugna pacos (alpaca) is the source of this 833-nucleotide non-coding RNA. The record is from RefSeq and is a predicted model, not a curated record. NCBI's taxonomy places the organism in Eukaryota, Metazoa, Chordata, Mammalia, Artiodactyla, Camelidae.